Non-coding RNA from Chrysemys picta bellii (western painted turtle), 1839 nucleotides. Lineage: Eukaryota; Metazoa; Chordata; Testudines; Emydidae. The record is from RefSeq and is a predicted model, not a curated record.
UGUCCCACCCCCGCCGCCAGGCUUUCUCCCCAGCACAGCGCCACGGCCCUGCGACAGGAACACAGGCGUCUCCGCAAGGCAAGGCGCUGCCCCCCGGCGGGGGAGCGGCAAGGGGGCGUCUGGCUGCCGUGUUCUUGAUGAUCAACGUGGACACUGAAAAGAAGAAAGAUAAAUAUUCCCAAGUUGUUGUGCCGCAAAGCAUGCAUGCAAAGAGUUUCAAGACCUGCAUACUCACAGCAGAACAGUAGCAGCAGACAACUGUAGCUCUUUUACAGCGCAUUUUACAAGUAGUCCAAGGUCUUGGAAAAUGGAACUUCCAAGGCUUGAGAAGAUGGGAGGAAGCAGCAGGAUUGGAAAUGUUUCCACUUUUGGAGAUAAGUCUUGAGAGUACUAGGCUUUCUACUGGAUAAGAGAACUGACUGAACUCUACCUGAAAAGGUUAACUCCAUGCUGGGAGCCACUGAGGAGCCAUGCUCUCAGAUUCAGGGAGGAGGAGUUGGGAAGGAUGAAGGUCCCUGAGUUUUAUGUCAAGAGGUCCUUCAUGAUAUGAAGCCUGAAUGGUGUUAACCUUGAGAGGUGGAUGAGGUUUGAGCACCACACCUGUCUUGGCCAAGCAGGUGCUAUGAUGAUAGCUCUGUCUCCUUCUCAGCACAGCUUUAGGGCUAGCGGUAUAGGUGGGUAAGCAUAAAGAAGGGUACGGGGACAUGGUGUUAUUAGGGCAUCCAUAGGAGAGUUGUGACCAUAACCUCCCUUGGAGCCAAAUAGACAUUUUGCAUUGUUUGUGUUGGCGAAGAGAUCUACCCUGGUAUACCUCAGGUCAGGAAGAUGCUCUGGAAGACAGAGUUUUUGAGCUCCCAUUUAUGAUUUUGGCAGAAGUGUCUGCUUAAGCGGUUGCAAUUACAUUGUGGAGGCCUAGCAGAUAAACUGCUGAUUUCUAUCUGAUGAGAAAUGCACCAGUUCCACAACUUUAGUGAUACUGCACAUAAGGACUGGGAUCUUGCCGAACCCUGGCGGUUGAUGUAAUACAUCACUGCCCUGUUGUCCAGCAUUACUCUGAUUGGGUCAUCUCAUAUGGCCUAGAGGAAAAGUUGGCAAGCAUAUCCACUGUUCUUAGCUCCACGAUAUUGACAUGUAGUGCCAAUUCCUAUGCUGACCACUUGCCCUGUGCUUUGUCUCCCUGUAGGUGAGCUUCCCACCAUAACAGACACAUCUGUUAUGAGGGUCUUCAAAGAUGCUGGAUGUAUGAAUGGGAUUCAAACAGAGAUUUUCCACGGGUCUUUCCACCAUAUAGAGAGUACCUUCCCGAGACACUGACAUGUGUCUGGAGAAGAUUGUCUGACUGGGGUAUACACUACUCUUAGUCAUGUCUGGAGGAGAAGAGAAUAAACUUCUUGACUUAGGAGUUCCUCGUGAGAAGGGUCCAUGAAGGAGGACGGGGAGAGGAUUGGAAAGAGGGAUGAAAAGGAAGUGGAUAGAGUAACCCACUUUGACAUUCUCUAAUAUCUACUUGUCUGAGGCACAUAAAUCCCCACUGAUCGCAAUGCUGAUCUGGAAUUUUUGAGCAUCUGGAGAGAAGAGUCCAUAGUUUCACUGAAGAAUGGCUCUUUGAAUGGGAGAUUUUCCAUGGUAUUUUGAACUUCUGGAAGACCUGAGAACUGGAGCCAGUAUGCUUUUCUCAUGACCACCAUUGUGACAUGGACUUACAGAGGCUGUUUCAGCAGCAUCUAGAGUAGCUUGUAGGGAGGUUUUGCAACCAACUGUCCUUCAGCAAUGAUAGACUGAAAAUGAUCUUUCUGGUCUUGUGACAAGUUGCUCAAUAAAAUGUAUAUAUUUGGAGUA